UACGUAGGAGGCGAGCGUUGUCCGGAAUCACUGGGCUUAAAGCGUGUGUAGGCGGGUCGUUAAGUACCUUGUGAAAUCCCACGGCUCACCCGUGGAACUGCUGGGUAUACUGGCGAUCUUGAGGCAUUCAGGGGCGAGCGGAACAAAUGGUGGAGCGGUGAAAUGCGUAGAUAUCAUUUGGAACGCCAAUGGUGAAAACAGCUCGCUGGGAAUGAUCUGACACUGAGACGCGAAAGCCAGGGGAGCGAACGGG
RNAcentral lists this ribosomal RNA (253 nucleotides) under uncultured bacterium. Its description in RNAcentral is "partial 16S ribosomal RNA". It matches the Rfam family "Bacterial small subunit ribosomal RNA", at positions 524 to 776 of the family's 1533-position model. The record is from RNAcentral.